Molecule: transfer RNA, 72 nt
Filed under: Mus musculus (house mouse)
Lineage: Eukaryota; Metazoa; Chordata; Mammalia; Rodentia; Muridae
Description: tRNA-Ser
Source: RNAcentral
UGGGAUGUAGCUCAGUUGGUGAAUGUUUGUCCAGAACAUAAAAAGCCCUGGGUUCCACCCCCAGAAUCACAG